GGAAGGAUCAUUAUCACAAAAUGAUUUUUAAGGUCUCUCUUAAUCCAGAGCCUUAAACCUCUUCUUAAACCAAUUUAAUUCAAAUGUGAAACUGUUCAUUUUGUUGUUGUUUUUUGUUUGAUUGAUGAUUGGCUCUCUGAGCCUUUCAGAAACCAAACAAAAAAAAAAACAACACUAUUCUUUUAACCAAUUGAACCCUUUUCUAAUUUAUUGUUAUUUUAUUUCUAUUUUAGUUCUGAAAUCUAUUAUAUUUCAAUAGCAAUAUUGAUGUAUGAUAAGUUACAUUACGAAACAAUAUUAAAUAAAACAACUCUUAGCAACGGAUAUCUUGGUUCUCGUAACGAUGAAGAACGCAGCGAAAUGCGAUACGUAAUGCGAAUUGCAGAAUUCAGUGAAUCAUCAAAUCUUUGAACGCAAAUUGCGCUUCUUGGAUAGGCCAGGAAGCAUGCCUCUUUGAGUAUCGUUUUCACCUCAGCUCGAUAGCGCACUUGUGUGCUAUUGGAUAAUGGGCUAUAUAUACUCUUGUCUGUAACAGGACAAGUGGCCUUAAAUGCAUGAGGGCAAUUUAACUGUAAAUUAACUGAACUUUAAGUUUUAGAUUUUGUAACGCAACGUUACAAAGCCUGAAUCUUGAUUUCAUACAUUUUAUGGUUCAAUUAUAGUGGAUAAAUUCUUUAUUUACUAUGGUGAAUUAGUAUGAUAUUAAUAUUCGUGGUUAUUCUAAAAGCAAAAGUUAUUAAUCAGUAUUACGAUCUAAUUGUCCUGAAAACUUCUUAGUUUUUCGCUAAGAACAUUUGUAAAGAAGCCUUCAUAAGCUUUUUUACAUGUACUACGAAAUUAAGAUCUCAAAUGAAGUAAGACUACCCGCUGAACUUAAGCAUAUUAUUAAGCGGAGGAAAAGAAACUAACAAGGAUGCCCUCAGUAACGGCGAGUGAAGCGGGCAAAGCUCAACCUGAAAAUCAGUGCUCCAAGCGGGGUAUCUGAAUUGUGGGCUACAGAUGCAUGAUCAGUGUGUGACCCAGGUAUAAAUCUUUUGAAACAAGGUAUCAUAGAGGGUGAGAAUCCCGUUUAUGACCUGGAGUUUUUCGCCACGUACGAUCUGCAGUCAUAGAGUCGAGUUGUUUGGGAUUGCAGCUCUAAAUGGGAGGUAAAUUUCUUCUAAAGCUAAAUAUCGACGAGAGACCGAUAGCGAACAAGUACCGUGAGGGAAAGAUGAAAAGAACUUUGAAAAGAGAGUUAAAAGUACUUGAAAUUGCUAAGAGGGAAGCACUGGAAACCAGUAAUUAUUGACCUAUGUAUUUUAUAGUAUUCGCUUCUGGAUUAUGCUUAUGAUAUGGUGCCCAAAGCCCAAUUAUAGGUAUAUGAAGGUGUGAGUAUGUUCGAUAUGUAUUGGUCAGAUCAGAAUCAAUUACGUUCGUGAGAGAAAGCUAUGGCAACGGUAGUUCUGUUUGGGGCAACUCAGAUGGAAUGUUUAGUGCUGUAGUGCUAUCAUGGAUUCGUGAUUGAGGUACAAUCGUAAUGCGCACCACUAGGUUAUCCGUUCCCUGACUCUAACAUGAUUCGAAAGCAUGCACAACAAAGUUGUUCGGUUUUCGGGUUUGUGUUACUAGAAAGGAUGAACGAGAAGCAUAAGCAUUCGAGAUUCUGAUGAAAUGGUUUUCAUUGACCCGUCUUGAAACACGGACCAAGGAGUCUAACAUAUAUGCGAGUAUUUGGGCCUGGAAACCCUUAUGCGCAAUGAAAGUGAAGGUUAACCUUGUUGUUAUCUGAGGUAGGAAUCUGUAGUUUCGACUAUAGAGGCACUAUCGACCGAUCAGUCACUUGUGGCAGAUUUGAGUAUGAGCAUAUCUGUUGGGACCCGAAAGAUGGUGAUCUAUGCCUGAACAGGGCGAAGCCAGGGGAAACUCUGGUGGAGGCUCGUAGCGAUACUGACGUGCAAAUCGUUCGUCUGAUUUGGGUAUAGGGGCGAAAGACUAAUCGAACCAUCUAGUAGCUGGUUCCCUC
Molecule: unclassified non-coding RNA, 2005 nt
Filed under: uncultured fungus
Lineage: Eukaryota; Fungi
Description: sequence contains 18S rRNA gene, ITS1, 5.8S rRNA gene, ITS2, 28S rRNA gene
Rfam family: Eukaryotic large subunit ribosomal RNA (bases 841-2005)
Source: RNAcentral